AACGCACGAGACCUGCGGACCUGCGGAAGGAUCAUUACAAGUGACCCCGGUCUAACCACCGGGAUGUUCAUAACCCUUUGUUGUCCGACUCUGUUGCCUCCGGGGCGACCCUGCCUUCGGGCGGGGGCUCCGGGUGGACACUUCAAACUCUUGCGUAACUUUGCAGUCUGAGUAAACUUAAUUAAUAAAUUAAAACUUUUAGCAAUGGAUCUCU
This 214-nucleotide unclassified non-coding RNA is filed under the name soil metagenome. RNAcentral describes it as "partial contains 5.8S ribosomal RNA, internal transcribed spacer 2, and large subunit ribosomal RNA". The record is from RNAcentral.